Aricia agestis (brown argus) is the source of this 161-nucleotide long non-coding RNA. RefSeq lists it as uncharacterized. NCBI's taxonomy places the organism in Eukaryota, Metazoa, Arthropoda, Insecta, Lepidoptera, Lycaenidae. The record is from RefSeq and is a predicted model, not a curated record. The transcript is spliced from 2 exons.
CUCCCACCCCGCUCAUGCUUCAAGUGCGACAUGUUUUUUGUUCGCAAUAGCUGCUCUAGUACGUAGUACUUACUACCUCAGUGACAUAACAUUACAGACUUUUGACGUUUAUACACCGAUAUGAGCUUUCUCAUUCACUCAACUUACUGCAUCGUUAGUUA